This 499-nucleotide ribosomal RNA is filed under the name uncultured bacterium. RNAcentral's name for it is "partial 16S ribosomal RNA". It matches the Rfam family "Bacterial small subunit ribosomal RNA", at positions 28 to 507 of the family's 1533-position model. The record is from RNAcentral.
GACGAACGCUGGCGGCGUGCUUAACACAUGCAAGUCGAACGGGCCUGUCUUCUUUUUUGGGGGUGGGUUGAGUGGCGAACGGGUGAGUAUCACGUGAGUAACCUGCCCUUCGGUCCUGGAUAACCGCUUGAAAGGGCGGCUAAUACGGGGUGGUCCGGUUGGUCCGCAUGGGCUGGUCGGGAUAGAUUCACUGUUUUUGGUGUUUCGGCGGGGGAUGGGCUCGCGGCCUAUCAGCUUGUUGGUGGGGUGAUGGCCUACCAAGGCGGUGACGGGGAGCCGGCCUGAGAGGGUGGGCGGCCACACUGGGACUGAGAUACGGCCCAGACUCCUGCGGGAGGCAGCAGUGGGGGGGAUGGCACAAUGGGCGGAAGCCUGAUGCAGCGACGUCGCGUGAGGGAUGGAGGCCUUCGGGUUGUGAACCUCUGUUUCCGGUGGUGAAGGCCCUGUCCGUGUGGUGGGGUUGACGGUAGCCGGGGAUGAAGCGCCGGCUAACUACGUG